CGUAUUUAAUUUGAUGAACAAAACGGGAAAAUGGUUGGAAAUAUUUCCCCGGUUUGAUUUUUUUUAAAUAAACCUUUUGUGGAUCAGUCUCGUCAGUCGUCACCAACAAUGAUGAAAAGGAUGUAUCGGAGAUAAAUCAACGAGGAGAUGGGUGCAUGGCUAUACGUUAAAAUUGUUGGAGCAGCUUUCUCUGAUCCUCUAGCUUGACCAUAUUGAGCCUUGGUUGUCUACCAUAUUGAUGAACACAAGAUAUACGAUCUCGUGUAGACUACGUUCUCUAUCGAACCAAAGAAGAAUAAGGCAUAAAACCAUCUACCCAUGCAGAGAACUGCAGAGAAACAGAGAGAGAGAGAGAGAGAGAGAGAGAGAGAGAGAGAGAGAGAGAGAGAGAGAGAGAAAUUAAAAGUUAAACAUAA
Long non-coding RNA from Magallana angulata, 416 nucleotides. RefSeq lists it as uncharacterized. The record is from RefSeq and is a predicted model, not a curated record. The transcript has 2 exons. NCBI's taxonomy places the organism in Eukaryota, Metazoa, Mollusca, Bivalvia, Ostreida, Ostreidae.